GCACCCGUCGCUUCNGCGACGGGGAGGUUUUCAAAGAACACUUGUGUCGCCCGUGCUCGAACCAAUUUUGAAUUCUUUU
RNAcentral lists this ribosomal RNA (79 nucleotides) under Neoconocephalus caudellianus. RNAcentral describes it as "partial 5.8S ribosomal RNA". The record is from RNAcentral. Lineage: Eukaryota; Metazoa; Arthropoda; Insecta; Orthoptera; Tettigoniidae.